This 711-nucleotide ribosomal RNA is filed under the name marine bacterium AK6_010. RNAcentral describes it as "bacterial SSU rRNA". It matches the Rfam family "Bacterial small subunit ribosomal RNA", at positions 74 to 777 of the family's 1533-position model. The record is from RNAcentral.
AAGAGCUUGCUCUUACGGGUGGCGAGUGGCGGACGGGUGAGGAAUACAUCGGAAUCUACUUUUUCGUGGGGGAUAACGUAGGGAAACUUACGCUAAUACCGCAUACGACCUACGGGUGAAAGCAGGGGAUCUUCGGACCUUGCGCGAUUGAAUGAGCCGAUGUCGGAUUAGCUAGUUGGCGGGGUAAAGGCCCACCAAGGCGACGAUCCGUAGCUGGUCUGAGAGGAUGAUCAGCCACACUGGAACUGAGACACGGUCCAGACUCCUACGGGAGGCAGCAGUGGGGAAUAUUGGACAAUGGGCGCAAGCCUGAUCCAGCCAUACCGCGUGGGUGAAGAAGGCCUUCGGGUUGUAAAGCCCUUUUGUUGGGAAAGAAAUCCAGCUGGUUAAUACCUGGUUGGGAUGACGGUACCCAAAGAAUAAGCACCGGCUAACUUCGUGCCAGCAGCCGCGGUAAUACGAAGGGUGCAAGCGUUACUCGGAAUUACUGGGCGUAAAGCGUGCGUAGGUGGUCGUUUAAGUCUGUUGUGAAAGCCCUGGGCUCAACCUGGGAACUGCAGUGGAAACUGGACGACUAGAGUGUGGUAGAGGGUAGCGGAAUUCCUGGUGUAGCAGUGAAAUGCGUAGAGAUCAGGAGGAACAUCCAUGGCGAAGGCAGCUACCUGGACCAACACGGACACUGAGGCACGAAAGCGUGGGGAGCAAACAGGA